Molecule: ribosomal RNA, 487 nt
Filed under: uncultured bacterium
Lineage: Bacteria
Description: bacterial SSU rRNA
Rfam family: Bacterial small subunit ribosomal RNA
Source: RNAcentral
GACGAACGCUGGCGGCGCGCCUAACACAUGCAAGUCGAACGAAGUUUUAGAGAGCUUGCUCUCUUUGACUUAGUGGCGGACGGGUGAGUAACGCGUGAGUAACCUGCCUUUUUGAGGGGGAUAACGACUGGAAACGGUCGCUAAUACCGCAUAACAUAGCGAAACCGCAUGGUAUUGCUAUCAAAGGAGUAAUCCGCAAGAAGAUGGACUCGCGUCCAAUUAGCUAGUUGGUGAGGUAAUGGCUCACCAAGGCGACGAUUGGUAGCCGGACUGAGAGGUUGAACGGCCACAUUGGGACUGAGACACGGCCCAGACUCCUACGGGAGGCAGCAGUGGGGAAUAUUGCACAAUGGGCGAAAGCCUGAUGCAGCGACGCCGCGUGAGGGAAGAAGGUUUUCGGAUUGUAAACCUCUGUCCUCGGUGAAGAUAAUGACGGUAACCGAGGAGGAAGCCACGGCUAACUACGUGCCAGCAGCCGCGGUAAUAC